This 173-nucleotide small RNA is filed under the name Mytilus galloprovincialis (Mediterranean mussel). Lineage: Eukaryota; Metazoa; Mollusca; Bivalvia; Mytilida; Mytilidae. The record is from RNAcentral.
AAUCGAGAAAUUGAAAAAUCGGGAAAUUCGAAAAUCGGGAAAUCGGGAAAUAGGAAAAUCGAGAAAUCGGGAAAUCGAGAAAUCGAGAAACCAAGAAAGUAUUUUUGCUUUCUCGAUUUCUCGAUUUACCGAUUUCCCGAUUUUCGCUUUUUCGAUUUCCAAUUCUCGCAUUU